AAUAAAGAUAUAAACGGCAAGCGUCUCCCUAGUUUUCUACGAAACGAUGACCACACACACAUUUAAACUUUCAGCGACUCUUGCGCAUAUCUAAAAGCCCAAGGAAGCCAAGAAUUCUAAAUCGACGUGGCAGUUCGCGGUGAUCGAGAAUACAACACUCAGAAGAGCAACAUAGAUUCCCCCACUGACAACAUCCAAGCCUAUUAUUGUUGAUCAUUUAUCAUAUUUAACCUGCAAUAUUACAAUAAACCUGCAAUAUUGGUAAACAAUGUACAUACGUUAGAAUAAUAACUAGCCGAGUUACGGUAUGUACGUCUGUCCGCCUCUCUGCCUGUCCGUAUAAAAAAGAUUUCGAAAUAGACGACCUUCGGGGAUGGACCUGCGGUAAUUACCUUUAGAAAGCUUUAAAUAAAUUUUGUUUGAAAUGCAAGGCAAGGCUAAUGGCGUCAAGUCUGUGAAAAAACGCUCUUUUUGAAAAUGGAUCAUUAUCCAGUCGAAGCACCUUCCGUUCCUUUAGGAAGAGCUACAUUGAAAACCUUCUUUAUUUUUACGGAAGUGCUUUAUGCGGAAGAGCUUUACCGACUUAUCGAGAAGUGCUUAAAACUUCUUACGGAAAGAAUAAGCCAAUAGCGAUCCUUAUAUAAAUUGAUAUAAAUCAAUGGAGCAUAGGGAAGGUCUAGUACUUAAUCUGAAAAUGCUUUUUGUUCUUAUCCUUGAUAAAUAUUACUGUGGCACUAGCAUCAUUUCCUUUAAUUCAUUUGAGUAAUAAAAUAUCCAUGUUUACUUUUGUGGUUUCAUUGUAGCUAGUAUAGAUGACCUUAGUAGGUAGAGUACAAGGUCAGCCCAGGCAACAACAACAACAAAUGGUAACACUCGAAUAGUGAUGGGAUUUAUCCAGCAAUACGACUUCAUUUUAUUUAUGAAUAACAAAAUUACUUUCCUCCGUUGUCUCUGGAGUCUUAUGCGAUGCUCAGCAAUGUGGCCUUGUCUGCGAAGGUGUUGUCGAAAUACGAGCCGAUUCGAGCACUUCCAACGUUGACGACGAAGUGACGGAACUAUGCCCGGUCGCCAUCAAUGCGCAAUUGCCGGCGAAUACGGAGCACAGCAGAAUAUGCUCCGGAAUACUUACUCACCCUGCCUCAGCUACGUGUCUGCAAUUCGCCGCUAUGAUUUUCGCCAUGUUACUCGAACGAGCUGUUCACAGAAAGUCACAGUCUUUGGAGUGAAAGUUUCAUAACCAUCCCAAAAUUGCAUGGUUUCCUAUGUUAAGAACAUUGUAGUUUCGGGCUCAUAAAAUGCAUUCCUCAUAUAUUUUAUCAAGUCAGUUAUCGAUAGCUACCGAUGGUUGUUGGCAAACAAGAAUUUUCGCUAAGAUGUAACAUGGUCAUACUGAAGGGAAACUGGAAACGUUGGAAAGAUGGUAACUGACUCGUGACUCGUGAACCUUCCACAACCCCUUCAAACAGCAGAGCAAACAUUGAAAAUAGACGACCACUUUGAUCCUCUACCGUAGGUAAAUAUAUUGAAUCGCGAGUGUCGAACACAAUUUAUGUUAACAAAACAGCACUUUAUUAAAGUUGUACACUUGUAAUCGCAUGGCGAAUUAAGUACACAGUUAUCGCGCUAAAAAUACAGUGUUGUGGGGAUCUCGGGGAUCCCUCGCUUAGGCCUAUGAUUGCAGGGUACAAGGACACCUGCUCCGGAUUCGGGCUUAUUUGUGAUAAGAACUGAUAUCUGAUGUAAAGCAGAUAUCGAAUUAUCAGUUAGCCGUAUUUUAAGCAGUAUCUUAACACCCUAACAUAAAAAUUCCAUAAUAUUAAUUAAUAAAAAAAAAAAAAA
This is an RNA transcript of Drosophila sechellia, 1839 nucleotides long. RefSeq lists it as uncharacterized. The transcript has 3 exons. Lineage: Eukaryota; Metazoa; Arthropoda; Insecta; Diptera; Drosophilidae. The record is from RefSeq and is a predicted model, not a curated record.